GAACCAGACUCCUACGGGAGGCAGCAGUGAGGAAUAUUGGUCAAUGGCCGAGAGGCUGAACCAGCCAAGUCGCGUGAGGGAUGACGGCCCUACGGGUUGUAAACCUCUUUUGUCGGGGAGCAAAGAGAGUCACGUGUGACUCAUUGAGAGUACCCGAAGAAAAAGCAUCGGCUAACUCCGUGCCAGCAGCCGCGGUAAUACGGAAGGUCCGGGCGUUAUCCGGAUUUAUUGGGUUUAAAGGGAGCGUAGGCCGGCUUUUAAGUCAGCUGUGAAAGUCCGCGGCUCAACCGUGGAAUUGCAGUUGAAACUGGAGGCCUUGAGUGCACACAGGGAUGCCGGAAUUCAUGGUGUAGCGGUGAAAUGCUUAGAUAUCAUGAAGAACUCCGAUCGCGAAGGCAAGUGUCCGGGGUGCAACUGACGCUGAAGCACGAAGGCGUGGGUAUCGAACAGGAUUAGAUACCCGGGUAGA
RNAcentral lists this ribosomal RNA (469 nucleotides) under uncultured bacterium. RNAcentral's name for it is "bacterial SSU rRNA". It matches the Rfam family "Bacterial small subunit ribosomal RNA", at positions 328 to 794 of the family's 1533-position model. The record is from RNAcentral.